GAUCCUGGCUCAGAUUGAACGCCGGCGGCAGGCUUAACACAUGCAAGUCGAACGGUAACAUAAAGAAGCUUGCUUCUUUGAUGACGAGUGGCGGACGGGUGAGUAAUGCUUGGGAAUCUAGCUUAUGGAGGGGGAUAACUACGGGAAACUGUAGCUAAUACCGCGUAGAAUCGGAAGAUGAAAGUGUGGGACCUUCGGGCCACAUGCCAUAGGAUGAGCCCAAGUGGGAUUAGGUAGUUGGUGAGGUAAAGG
This 252-nucleotide ribosomal RNA is filed under the name uncultured bacterium. Its description in RNAcentral is "partial 16S ribosomal RNA". It matches the Rfam family "Bacterial small subunit ribosomal RNA", at positions 15 to 263 of the family's 1533-position model. The record is from RNAcentral.